CUUCCCACUUUCCACGAUAAAAGAAAAAAAGAAAAUACCAAAUUCCCACGUCUUGAAGACUUGAACUGAUCUAUUUGCCAGAAUCUCUCCCUUCUUUUGUUUACCUAUCUCUCUCUCUCAUCUCUCUCGCUCUCUCCAAUUAUCAAAGGCAAAAAAAAUUCAGAAGACCGAAUUCUGGUUAUAAAGGAAUCCAACCCAAGCACGAUGAAACAACCGACUUCGUCCUCUUUGAUGAUUUUCUGCAAGUUUGCUGUGAUUUCCCAGGGUCAUUUGAAAUUGAGAUAUACGACAUGAGGUCAAGGCGUUUCGUGAGGAGUCAAAAGCUUUCUGUCGCACUUUUAAUAUCCUAUUGGGUCAGAUUUUCUCUCUUCUUUGUAAGUUUACUAAGAAGAUUAUGUAUUUGAUUGAAUUUACCCCAUUCAUGAUAAGGGGGCCUAUCUCUUAUGGGUCUGAGGAAUUUAUUUGCUGUUGAACAGAUUUCACAGAUGACAAGUCAUCUCUGAAUGUGAAUUGCCAUCGAUAUGACCCUUCUUAUGUGUUUGUAUUUCAUUCCUAUAUGUUAUCUUAAUGGUUCCACCACUAUUGUCUUAUUUGUCUGCUAGUUAACUUAUAUGGAACAAAAGACUCUUCUUUUUAUUUUUAAUUUUUUGAUUAUCUUGGUGACCAUUGAAAAGUCCACCAUACGGUUUGGCUUUAUCUUUUCACAUCAACAUGGUUUUAGGGGGUUUAAGAUUUUAGUGUAAAGUUCAGAUGUGUAGUUGAGUAGUGCAUAACCUCAUUUAGCUGUUUUUGGUGCUCUAUAAGACUGAGGAGAAAGUAUGGAACAAAACAUUGACAUUGAUGUUUCAUGAGGUACCUAAUAUAAUUUAGACUUGAGCUUUAGUAUUUAUUGACUGAUAGAUAGUGCUUCAUCUAUUGCUGAUGUUUAUAAGCAUCUCAUUCAAACCAUUCUAAUGAGUAUAGACAUGAAGUGAAUUUGUGAUCAAGAUGCCUGAACGUAACUAAUGUAUUGUUCCCUGGACUUUGCAUUGCUGUUUUAGCUCAGAAUGCAACUUCCUGCACUCUUUUCUGGUUAUGAUAAUAGAGGAAUGAUUGAUGAAUUGGCUCUCGAAGUAAGCUUUUCAUAUCUUGCUUUUCAGAGAGAUUUUAAAGUGCAAGAGGAUAGAAAACACAGGAAGACAUAUAAGGCUCUAGGUGAUUCUGAACAAAAGCUUCAGUUCUUUUCAGCUACACAAAUAGCAUGCCGCUUGCUUGGAAGUAGAGGCUACCUUUGUCAAAAGGAAAAAGCAAUGUUUGGUGCCUCUAUCCCAACAAAAAUGUUGUGUUGCAGGAUGUCUUUGGCCAAUAAUCUUCAGCUGAUCUGGAAGCUAAAUUGACCAAGGUAUUAUUGUUUCAGUGCUGUGUUGUGGGUGUUCUGUAUGAGGAGUAUUUGCUAAGUACCACUCUUGCUAGUCGUGUUUUUUUAAUGGCACAUAAAAAAAAAAAAUCUAAUAUCAAUGUGCUUCUUACAUGGUGAUCCCAUUACAUUUCCUGAAGAAGAGCCAUAACUAGUGCUUGUUUCGAAAUAAAUAAGAGCGUAUCUAUUGGUUUUUUUUUUGGUCACCAUUGAAAAAUCCACCAUACUGUUUAGUUCAUUGGUUUCACUAGAGGAUGCAUGCAAGGAGGGGUUGCUGCUUUGUUGGAUUUGCACAAGGAGGAUUUUCUGCUCUGUUUUGUGCAAGGAAGAGCUGUUCUUCUCUCAUCCCCAAGGGUGCUUAUAUAUACAUGUAACAUUUUAAUUAUUUUAAUUCUUAGGUAGCAAUUUGAUUUGGAUAGCCAACUUAUUUAAUUUUGAUCAAUUGAACUUUUAGUACUUUCCAUUAUGUAAGUUCUUUAUGUUUUUUGUACUAAGAGGUCAGGCCUUAUGUCCCCCUCUCUAUUGUAUUUGUUUUUUGUGCUAAUAAACAAAAUUGCUCGUUUA
This is an RNA transcript of Rosa rugosa (rugosa rose), 1960 nucleotides long. RefSeq lists it as uncharacterized. The transcript is spliced from 3 exons. NCBI's taxonomy places the organism in Eukaryota, Viridiplantae, Streptophyta, Magnoliopsida, Rosales, Rosaceae. The record is from RefSeq and is a predicted model, not a curated record.